GUGGUUGCUGGCGUGGGUCGCAGAGAAUAGAGGGGAGCGACUGUUUAUCAAAAACACAGGUCCGUGCGAAGACGAUGAAGUUGAUGUAUACGGACUGACGCCUGCCCGGUGCUGGAAGGUUAAGAGGACCUGUUAGGACUUUUUGUCCGAAGCGGAGAAUUUAAGCCCCAGUAAACGGCGGUGGUAACUAUAACCAUCCUAAGGUAGCGAAAUUCCUUGUCGGGUAAGUUCCGACCUGCACGAAUGGCGUAACGACUCCCCUGCUGUCUCAACCACAGACCCGGUGAAAUUGCACUACGAGUAAAGAUGCUCGUUACGCGCGGCAGGACGAAAAGACCCCGGGACCUUCACUAUAGCUUGGUAUUGGCAUUCGGUGCGGUUUGUGUAGGAUAGGUGGGAGACUGUGAAGCGGCCACGCCAGUGGUUGUGGAGUCGUUGUUGAAAUACCACUCUGACCGUAGUGGAUAUCUAACCUUGGCCCAUGAUCUGGGUUGGGGACAGUGCCUGGUGGGUAGUUUAACUGGGGC
Molecule: ribosomal RNA, 527 nt
Filed under: Corynebacterium coyleae
Lineage: Bacteria; Bacillati; Actinomycetota; Actinomycetes; Mycobacteriales; Corynebacteriaceae
Description: bacterial LSU rRNA
Rfam family: Bacterial large subunit ribosomal RNA
Source: RNAcentral